Molecule: small nuclear RNA, 107 nt
Organism: Aotus nancymaae (Ma's night monkey)
Lineage: Eukaryota; Metazoa; Chordata; Mammalia; Primates; Aotidae
Source: Ensembl
AUGCUUGCUUCAGCAGCUCACAUACUAAUACUGGAAUAAUACAGAGAAAAUUAACAUGGCUCCUGCAUAAGAAUGACACACAAAUUCAUGAGGUGGUUCAUAUUUUG